UGUAACCAGAAAUGAUAAGGUGCUGAUCAACAGUCAGUGAAAAGGGAAACCGGUGCAAAUCCGGUGCGGUCGCGCCACUGUGAAUGGGGAAGCGGUCUGCGAUAACCACUGCUUGUAAGAAGCGGGAAGGUGCAGUCCAAUGAGGAACCAUGAGCCAGGAGACCUGCCUUAUUAUCAAUCCUUCG
This 185-nucleotide non-coding RNA is filed under the name Seinonella peptonophila. The record is from RNAcentral. Lineage: Bacteria; Bacillati; Bacillota; Bacilli; Caryophanales; Thermoactinomycetaceae.